CAGCAGCCGCGGGAAUACGUAGGGGGCAAGCGUUAUCCGGAUUUACUGGGUGUAAAGGGAGCGCAGACGGCAGUGCAAGUCUGAAGUGAAAGGCGUGGGCUCAACCCAUGAACUGCUUUGGAAACUGUAUAGCUUGAGUGUCGGAGGGGUAAGCGGAAUUCCUAGUGUAGCGGUGAAAUGCGUAGAUAUUAGGAAGAACACCAGUGGCGAAGGCGACUUUCUGGACGAAGACUGACGCUGAGGCGCGAAAGCCAGGGGAGCGAACGGGAUUAGAGACCCGUGUAGUCCCUGUCUCUUAUAC
This 301-nucleotide ribosomal RNA is filed under the name uncultured bacterium. Its description in RNAcentral is "partial 16S ribosomal RNA". It matches the Rfam family "Bacterial small subunit ribosomal RNA", at positions 509 to 807 of the family's 1533-position model. The record is from RNAcentral.